CUCAGCUUUAUUGACCAGUUGAUGAACAUUAGAGCUACUCAUAGUUUAGAAGAAUUGAGUUCUGAAGUUCCCCAGGGGCCUCGCAGAUUUCAUGGGUCUUCACUCAGCUCUUUGUGUAUCUGCCUUUUCCAUGUUUGUGCCAUGCCUGAAUACGCUGGUUCUGAAUAUUCCAGUGUUCCUGAUGAACAGACAAAAAUUAAAGAGGGAAUACAUUCUAAUCAAAACUACACUGAGAGGUUUCCCUGGUUGCCAAGGAAGAACUCAUGGGGCAGAGCUGUGAGUAUACAUCAGAGCAAGGGGCAAUCCAUCACUGAGUGAAUGGCACCUCCUAGGCUCUAUUACACCAUCCGUCACCUAAGCAAGUUGUUGCUCUAAUGAUAUAUUAGUGUAAUAAUCUACUCAAGAUACAUCAGUGAUGCAUUACUCAAAAGAUGGCCCUAUUUAUGGAAGUGUGGCUCCAGGAAGCUCUUGAGUACUUGUGGAGACAGUUGGAAGAUUUCCAUGGAAUCUAAACUCAGCCAAAAAGCACAACACAAUGGAAGGCAUUUUCUGAGCAGCAGAGAGGAAUCCUGGUUUGAAAUAAAUCUGUUGUCAUCUUUAUAAUAAAUCUUCAGCCC
This 617-nucleotide long non-coding RNA is filed under the name Chinchilla lanigera (long-tailed chinchilla). Its description in RNAcentral is "lncRNA (ENSCLAG00000025710.1)". Lineage: Eukaryota; Metazoa; Chordata; Mammalia; Rodentia; Chinchillidae. The record is from RNAcentral.